Molecule: ribosomal RNA, 771 nt
Filed under: Streptococcus anginosus
Lineage: Bacteria; Bacillati; Bacillota; Bacilli; Lactobacillales; Streptococcaceae
Description: bacterial SSU rRNA
Rfam family: Bacterial small subunit ribosomal RNA
Source: RNAcentral
GACGAACGCUGGCGGCGUGCCUAAUACAUGCAAGUAGGACGCACAGUUUAUACCGUAGCUUGCUACACCAUAGACUGUGAGUUGCGAACGGGUGAGUAACGCGUAGGUAACCUACCUAUUAGAGGGGGAUAACUAUUGGAAACGAUAGCUAAUACCGCAUAACAGUAUGUAACACAUGUUAGAUGCUUGAAAGAUGCAAUUGCAUCGCUAGUAGAUGGACCUGCGUUGUAUUAGCUAGUAGGUAGGGUAAUGGCCUACCUAGGCAACGAUACAUAGCCGACCUGAGAGGGUGAUCGGCCACACUGGGACUGAGACACGGCCCAGACUCCUACGGGAGGCAGCAGUAGGGAAUCUUCGGCAAUGGGGGGAACCCUGACCGAGCAACGCCGCGUGAGUGAAGAAGGUUUUCGGAUCGUAAAGCUCUGUUGUUAAGGAAGAACGAGUGUGAGAAUGGAAAGUUCAUGCUGUGACGGUACUUAACCAGAAAGGGACGGCUAACUACGUGCCAGCAGCCGCGGUAAUACGUAGGUCCCGAGCGUUGUCCGGAUUUAUUGGGCGUAAAGCGAGCGCAGGCGGUUAGAAAAGUCUGAAGUGAAAGGCAGUGGCUCAACCAUUGUAGGCUUUGGAAACUGUUUAACUUGAGUGCAGAAGGGGAGAGUGGAAUUCCAUGUGUAGCGGUGAAAUGCGUAGAUAUAUGGAGGAACACCGGUGGCGAAAGCGGCUCUCUGGUCUGUAACUGACGCUGAGGCUCGAAAGCGUGGGGAGCGAACA